Molecule: ribosomal RNA, 631 nt
Filed under: bacterium TN32C
Lineage: Bacteria
Description: bacterial SSU rRNA
Rfam family: Bacterial small subunit ribosomal RNA
Source: RNAcentral
GUUUGAUCCUGGCUGAGGAUGAACGCUGGCGGCGUGCUUAACACAUGCAAGUCGAACGAUGAUCUCCAGCUUGCUGGGGGGAUUAGUGGCGAACGGGUGAGUAACACGUGAGUAACCUGCCCUUGACUCUGGGAUAAGCCUGGGAAACUGGGUCUAAUACCGGAUAUGACCAUCUGGCGCAUGUCAUGGUGGUGGAAAGCUUUUUUGUGGUUUUGGAUGGACUCGCGGCCUAUCAGCUUGUUGGUGGGGUAAUGGCCUACCAAGGCGACGACGGGUAGCCGGCCUGAGAGGGUGACCGGCCACACUGGGACUGAGACACGGCCCAGACUCCUACGGGAGGCAGCAGUGGGGAAUAUUGCACAAUGGGCGCAAGCCUGAUGCAGCGACGCCGCGUGAGGGAUGACGGCCUUCGGGUUGUAAACCUCUUUCAGUAGGGAAGAAGCGUAAGUGACGGUACCUGCAGAAGAAGCGCCGGCUAACUACGUGCCAGCAGCCGCGGUAAUACGUAGGGCGCAAGCGUUAUCCGGAAUUAUUGGGCGUAAAGAGCUCGUAGGCGGCUUGUCGCGUCUGCUGUGAAAGACCGGGGCUCGACUCCGGUUCUGCAGUGGGUACGGGCAGACUAGAGUGCAGU